GUGGGGAAUAUUGGACAAUGGGCGCAAGCCUGAUCCAGCCAUGCCGCGUGUGUGAAGAAGGCCUUCGGGUUGUAAAGCACUUUUGUCCGGGAAGAAAUCUUCCAGGUUAAUACCCUGGGAGGCUGACGGUACCGGAAGAAUAAGCACCGGCUAACUUCGUGCCAGCAGCCGCGGUAAUACGAAGGGUGCAAGCGUUACUCGGAAUUACUGGGCGUAAAGCGUGCGUAGGUGGUUCGUUAAGUCUGCCGUGAAAGCCCCGGGCUCAACCUGGGAAUGGCGGUGGAUACUGGCGGGCUAGAGUGCGGUAGAGGGUGGUGGAAUUCCCGGUGUAGCAGUGAAAUGCGUAGAGAUCGGGAGGAACAUCUGUGGCGAAGGCGGCCACCUGGACCAGCACUGACACUGAGGCACGAAAGCGUGGGGAGCAAACAGGAUUAGAAACCCCUGUAGUCC
This 450-nucleotide ribosomal RNA is filed under the name uncultured bacterium. RNAcentral describes it as "partial 16S ribosomal RNA". It matches the Rfam family "Bacterial small subunit ribosomal RNA", at positions 354 to 796 of the family's 1533-position model. The record is from RNAcentral.